RNAcentral lists this ribosomal RNA (253 nucleotides) under uncultured bacterium. RNAcentral's name for it is "partial 16S ribosomal RNA". It matches the Rfam family "Bacterial small subunit ribosomal RNA", at positions 524 to 776 of the family's 1533-position model. The record is from RNAcentral.
UACGAAGGGUGCUAGCGUUGUUCGGAAUCACUGGGCGUAAAGCGUACGUAGGCGGAUCGUUAAGUCAGGGGUGAAAGCCUGGAGCUCAACUCCAGAACUGCCUUUGAUACUGGCGAUCUUGAGACCGGGAGAGGUGAGUGGAACUGCUAGUGUAGAGGUGAAAUUCGUAGAUAUUAGCAAGAACACCAGUGGCGAAGGCGGCUCACUGGCCCGGUACUGACGCUGAGGUACGAAAGCGUGGGGAGCAAACAGG